Molecule: ribosomal RNA, 193 nt
Filed under: uncultured bacterium
Lineage: Bacteria
Description: partial 16S ribosomal RNA
Rfam family: Bacterial small subunit ribosomal RNA
Source: RNAcentral
GGGAGUAUCGACCCUCUCUGUGCCGAAGCUAACGCUUUAAGUACCCCGCCUGGGGAGUACGGUCGCAAGACUAAAACUCAAAGGAAUUGACGGGGGCCCGCACAAGCAGCGGAGCGUGUGGUUUAAUUCGAUGCUACACGAAGAACCUCACCAAGGCUUGACAUGUUAGAAGUAGUGAACCGAAAGGGAAACG